GACGAACGCUGGCGGCGUGCUUAACACAUGCAAGUCGAACGGAAAGGCCCUGCUUUUGUGGGGUGCUCGAGUGGCGAACGGGUGAGUAACACGUGAGUAAACUGCCCUUGACUUUGGGAUAACUUCAGGAAACUGGGGCUAAUACAGGAUAGGAGAUCCUGAUGCAUGGUGGGGGUUGGAAAGUUUCGGCGGUUGGGGAUGGACUCGCGGCUUAUCAGCUUGUUGGUGGGGUAGUGGCUUACCAAGGCUUUGACGGGUAGCCGGCCUGAGAGGGUGACCGGCCACAUUGGGACUGAGAUACGGCCCAGACUCCUACGGGAGGCAGCAGUGGAGAAUAUUGCACAAUGGGCGGAAGCCUGAUGCAGCAACGCCGCGUGCGUGAUGACGUCCUUCGAGUUGUAAACCGCUUUCGCCUUUGACGAAGCGUGAUUGACGGUAAUGAGUAAAGAAGCACCGGCUAACUACGUG
RNAcentral lists this ribosomal RNA (468 nucleotides) under uncultured bacterium. RNAcentral's name for it is "partial 16S ribosomal RNA". It matches the Rfam family "Bacterial small subunit ribosomal RNA", at positions 28 to 507 of the family's 1533-position model. The record is from RNAcentral.